ACGCGCGGAACCUUACCAGGUCUUGACAUCCCAUUGACCGCUAUGGAGACAUAGUUUUCCCUUCGGGGACAGUGGUGACAGGUGGUGCAUGGUUGUCGUCAGCUCGUGUCGUGAGAUGUUGGGUUAAGUCCCGCAACGAGCGCAACCCUUGUCCUUAGUUGCCAGCAUUCAGUUGGGCACUCUAAGGAGACUGCCGGUGACAAACCGGAGGAAGGUGGGGAUGACGUCAAAUCAUCAUGCCCCUUAUGACCUGGGCUACACACGUGCUACAAUGGACGGUACAAACGGUUGCCAACCCGCGAGGGGGAGCUAAUCCGAUAAAACCGUUCUCAGUUCGGAUUGUAGGCUGCAACUCGCCUACAUGAAGCUGGAAUCGCUAGUAAUCGCGGAUCAGCAUGCCGCGGUGAAUACGUUCCCGGGCCUUGCACACACCGCCCGU
This 439-nucleotide ribosomal RNA is filed under the name uncultured bacterium. RNAcentral's name for it is "bacterial SSU rRNA". It matches the Rfam family "Bacterial small subunit ribosomal RNA", at positions 959 to 1397 of the family's 1533-position model. The record is from RNAcentral.